UUUCCGUAGGUGAACCUGCGGAAGGAUCAUUAUUGGAUUUUGAAACUUCAGGCUGCUGCUGGCUCUCCUCGGAGGGCAUGUGCACGCUUGUUGUCCAUUAUUUCUCCCACUGUGCACAAAUUGUAGACCUUUCAGUAGGCCUAUGUUGUUUUUCACAAUCUCUGAAUGUAAUAGAAUGGUUUUGAAUCUUGGGAAAUACAAUACAACUUUCAGCAACGGAUCUCUUGGCUCUCGCAUCAUGAAGAACGCAGC
RNAcentral lists this unclassified non-coding RNA (252 nucleotides) under plant metagenome. RNAcentral describes it as "partial contains small subunit ribosomal RNA, internal transcribed spacer 1, and 5.8S ribosomal RNA". The stretch from base 205 to 252 matches the Rfam family "5.8S ribosomal RNA", at positions 1 to 49 of the family's 154-position model. The record is from RNAcentral.